This 85-nucleotide transfer RNA is filed under the name Bythopirellula goksoeyrii. RNAcentral describes it as "Bythopirellula goksoyri tRNA-Ser". It matches the Rfam family "tRNA". From Rfam's summary of the family: Transfer RNA (tRNA) molecules are approximately 80 nucleotides in length. Lineage: Bacteria; Pseudomonadati; Planctomycetota; Planctomycetia; Pirellulales; Lacipirellulaceae. The record is from RNAcentral.
GGAAGAGCAAGCCAAUAGGCGAUGGCAGCUGUUUCGAAAACAGUCGAGCGAUGAGCCUUGAGGGUUCGACUCCCUCUCCUUCCGC